RNAcentral lists this transfer RNA (66 nucleotides) under Talonostrea talonata. RNAcentral's name for it is "Crassostrea talonata tRNA-Tyr". Lineage: Eukaryota; Metazoa; Mollusca; Bivalvia; Ostreida; Ostreidae. The record is from RNAcentral.
CAUCGUAUAGUAUAAAUUGGAGUACAAAAAAUUGUAAAUUUUUAGGCGCAUAAGAGGCUGCGAUGU